UCAUACGGGAGGCAGCAGUGGGGAAUAUUGCACAAUGGGGGAAACCCUGAUGCAGCCAUGCCGCGUGUGUGAAGAAGGCCUUCGGGUUGUAAAGCACUUUCAGUUGUGAGGAAAGGUUGGUAGUUAAUACCUGCCAGCUGUGACGUUAACAACAGAAGAAGCACCGGCUAACUCCGUGCCAGCAGCCGCGGUAAUACGGAGGGUGCGAGCGUUAAUCGGAAUUACUGGGCGUAAAGCGCACGCAGGCGGUUUGUUAAGCUAGAUGUGAAAGCCCCGGGCUCAACCUGGGAUGGUCAUUUAGAACUGGCAGACUAGAGUCUUGGAGAGGGGAGUGGAAUUCCAGGUGUAGCGGUGAAAUGCGUAGAUAUCUGGAGGAACAUCAGUGGCGAAGGCGGCUCCCUGGCCAAAGACUGACGCUCAUGUGCGAAAGUGUGGGUAGCGAACAGGAUUAGAUACCCUGGUAGUCCACACCGUAAACGCUGUCUACUAACUGUUUGUGAAAUUAAUUCGUGAGAAGCGAAACUAACGCGCUAAGUAGACCGC
This 543-nucleotide ribosomal RNA is filed under the name bacterium 73_VP8_E4. RNAcentral describes it as "bacterial SSU rRNA". It matches the Rfam family "Bacterial small subunit ribosomal RNA", at positions 337 to 872 of the family's 1533-position model. The record is from RNAcentral.